Pteropus alecto (black flying fox) is the source of this 74-nucleotide non-coding RNA. NCBI's taxonomy places the organism in Eukaryota, Metazoa, Chordata, Mammalia, Chiroptera, Pteropodidae. The record is from Rfam.
GGCUCCAUAGUGUAGUGGUUAGCACAUCUGCUUUACAUACAGAAGGUCCUGGGUUCGUGCCCCAGGUGGAGCCA